CGCUAGGGUGGCAGAGCAUGGUAAUUGCGAGAAGCCUAAGCCUUCUUCCCCAGAGGUUCAAGUCCUCUCCCCAGCU
RNAcentral lists this transfer RNA (76 nucleotides) under Jenkinsia sp. CL54. Its description in RNAcentral is "tRNA-Leu (UUR)". Lineage: Eukaryota; Metazoa; Chordata; Actinopteri; Clupeiformes; Clupeidae. The record is from RNAcentral.